This 209-nucleotide ribosomal RNA is filed under the name uncultured bacterium. Its description in RNAcentral is "partial 16S ribosomal RNA". It matches the Rfam family "Bacterial small subunit ribosomal RNA", at positions 28 to 234 of the family's 1533-position model. The record is from RNAcentral.
GACGAACGCUGGCGGCGUGCUUAACACAUGCAAGUCGAGCGGUAAGGCCCUUUCGGGGGUACGACGAGCGGCGAACGGGUGAGUAACACGUGGGUGACCUGCCCUCCAGCUCUGGGAGUAAGCCUGGGAAACGUGGGUCUAAUACCGGAUAUGACUCCAUGAUGCAUGUUGUGGGGUGGAAAGCCUUGUGCGGCUGGAGAUGGGCCCGC